CAAGCACAAAACAGAAGAGAGAAUAAAUUGGAGGUCAUCAGCAGACGAGUGAUUUCAACAAGUUUCUGGAAAGCACAAAGUACAUGAAAAGGUGUCAAAAGAUGAAAUGGAAGAAGCUAUCAUCUUUAGCAUUUCUAGAGGCGGCUUCAAAGACCAGAAGGAAGAGCUAGACAGCAAAACUAGAGAGGCCAACCUUCGAGACAUCAGACAGGAAGUUUGGAGUUCUGGCAGCCAUCCUGGACCAUAACAUGAAGUGCUUAAAGACGGCAGCAUAGAAAUAUACAAGAAGCCCAGAUCCUUGAUGAUCAUGGAGCCACCAUGGACUGCUUACCCCUGGACUUCAUUUACAUGAAAGAAAAUAAAACCUUA
Molecule: long non-coding RNA, 369 nt
Filed under: Equus caballus (horse)
Lineage: Eukaryota; Metazoa; Chordata; Mammalia; Perissodactyla; Equidae
Description: lncRNA (ENSECAG00000057719.1)
Source: RNAcentral